RNAcentral lists this ribosomal RNA (253 nucleotides) under uncultured bacterium. RNAcentral's name for it is "partial 16S ribosomal RNA". It matches the Rfam family "Bacterial small subunit ribosomal RNA", at positions 524 to 776 of the family's 1533-position model. The record is from RNAcentral.
UACGAAGGGGGCUAGCGUUGCUCGGAAUCACUGGGCGUAAAGGGUGCGUAGGCGGGUCUUUAAGUCAGGGGUGAAAUCCUGGAGCUCAACUCCGGAACUGCCUUUGAUACUGAAGAUCUUGAGUUCGGGAGAGGUGAGUGGAACUGCGGGUGUAGAGGUGAAAUUCGUAGAUAUUCGCAAGAACACCAGUGGCGAAGGCGGCUCACUGGCCCGAUACUGACGCUGAGGCACGAAAGCGUGGGGAGCAAACAGG